This 466-nucleotide ribosomal RNA is filed under the name uncultured bacterium. RNAcentral describes it as "partial 16S ribosomal RNA". It matches the Rfam family "Bacterial small subunit ribosomal RNA", at positions 338 to 796 of the family's 1533-position model. The record is from RNAcentral.
CCUACGGGAGGCAGCAGUAGGGAAUCUUCCACAAUGGGCGAAAGCCUGAUGGAGCAACGCCGCGUGGGUGAAGAAGGUCUUCGGAUCGUAAAACCCUGUUGUUAGAGAAGAAAGUGCGUGAGAGUAACUGUUCACGUUUCGACGGUAUCUAACCAGAAAGCCACGGCUAACUACGUGCCAGCAGCCGCGGUAAUACGUAGGUGGCAAGCGUUAUCCGGAUUUAUUGGGCGUAAAGGGAACGCAGGCGGUCUUUUAAGUCUGAUGGGAAAGCCUUCGGCUUAACCGGAGUAGUGCAUUGGAAACUGGGAGACUUGAGUGCAGAAGAGGAGAGUGGAACUCCAUGUGUAGCGGUGAAAUGUGUAGAUAUAUGGAAGAACACCAGUGGCGAAAGCGGCUCUCUGGUCUGUAACUGACGCUGAGGUUCGAAAGCGUGGGUAGCAAACAGGAUUAGAUACCCCAGUAGUCC